CCGAGGUAAAACAAGUCCAACAUUCGGCAUGAGACCUCACCAAGUCAUUUUCACUAAGUUCGCCAGAACCACCAUCGGAGUGCUCAUCAGCUCACCAAGAGCCGGGGUACUGUUUCCUCCUCGCCCUUGGCCGAUGUAGUAUACUUGGAAUCUCCACCAGAACCCUUCAGAAUCCUAUCUAUACAUGGAAACUAUCCAUUGCGAGAUCUUCUCCUCCACGGCACCGACAAUUACGGGAUACUCUCCAAAUGGCAAUCUUUCCAAUUAUGCCUCCUAUAUCUCCGGGACCUCCUUCCAUACUUAUCCUUCCGAGGAUC
RNAcentral lists this long non-coding RNA (317 nucleotides) under Actinidia chinensis (golden kiwifruit). Its description in RNAcentral is "long non-coding RNA (ACHI_LNC007999)". The record is from RNAcentral. Lineage: Eukaryota; Viridiplantae; Streptophyta; Magnoliopsida; Ericales; Actinidiaceae.